RNAcentral lists this long non-coding RNA (1462 nucleotides) under Solanum lycopersicum (tomato). Its description in RNAcentral is "long non-coding RNA (SLYC_LNC000403)". Lineage: Eukaryota; Viridiplantae; Streptophyta; Magnoliopsida; Solanales; Solanaceae. The record is from RNAcentral.
GGAAAUGUGUUAGCUUUUUCUCUCACUUAUUAGGGAUUAUUAGAUUUUAUGUCUUUCCCUUUCACUUGGAUAUUUUUGGAAUACACUCUUUUUCAUUAGCUAGGAUAAGAAUGGAGACGACGUGGGGUCAAAAUUAUUCCAAAGAAUGAAGGAAAAGAGAAGCAACAAUUUCUACAAUAACUCAACCCCCUCGCCUCCACUAAAUUAGCUUCCCAUGUGUUGCAAUGUAGGGGCAUAGAAAAUGAGCCAAAAUAUAGGUACUCUUUAAUUCAUUCAGAAUUUUAAUGAUAGAGUUCAAGAUAAUUUGAAUUAAGUUCACUCUUAAUUAUUUCAAGACUUCAUUCAUUUUAAGAAAAUUUUUAGUUGAGCUCAAUUUAAUCUUCAAUUCUUAUAUAUUUUAAGUCUUUUUUGUUGCAUUGAUAUAAUCUAUUUUAUAUCGUUUAGAAUUUAUCUAUCCAUUUGUAAUUAUUUUUUACGAGUUAAAAUUCAAAUUGUAGUUAUAAAAGUUAGAUAACAAAAGGUUAAAAUUAUUGAGAUUAAGAAUAUCAAAUUUGGCAGGUCUUGCUUAGAUUUUUAGUCCAUCAUAUUUGAGUCCAAAGUUAAGGGUGGGUCAAGAUCCAAUCCAGUUUUUAUUUCAAUUCAUUUUAAUAUAUCAAAUUUUAACCUAACCUGUUUAUUUGACAUCUAUGUUGCAAUGCAGAGAUUCAACACGUGUCCUAAAUACAAUUUAAUUGGACAAGCUUUAUCUAUGAUCAACUGUUUCGCUCUUUAGUCUUCUUCUUCUUUUCGCGAGUUUAAAAAAAAUUUCUCCAUUCAACUUUAGUAUGGUAAAUACUGGAGCUAAAUGUAACGAUCCUUAUAUAUACAUAUCUAAAGAGGUUUUUCAUUUGUGUUGGAUUGUAUAUUGAUUUGAUCAUUUGAUGAGUCUUUUCUGAAAUGAUUUUUUUAAUACUAGUAUAUGGGCACGUGUGUUGCGCGUUUACUCAUAACGAUAAAUAAAGUGAUAAACGUUUUUAGUGUAUAAACUAACUAAUAUAAGGGCAAUGCGCGAUUUAACUUUUAAAAAAAUGUUUGUAGUGUAUAGUUAACUUGAAGUUUUUUUUUUUUUCAUUUAGUCCUCUCUUUAUUAUAAUUUUGAUAUAGAAAUUUUAUAUUUGUUUUUAAAAGACAAAAUAAAGUAGCAAUAAUAAAGAUGGAGGCACAGUAUCUUAUGAAUAACUUCCUUAAAUUGUCUUUUUUUUCCUCAUAAAAUAGUAUAAAUGUCUCUCUUGUCUCAUAGAAUAGAGUAAAAAUAUUGAAAUUAAAUUAAUAGUUACACAAUAUAUACAUUUCAAGAAGAUAAAUGUUUGACAUUUAUUAGUACAAGACGAAAUUCUCAUUCUCAUUGAGUAGAUUGCAACUAAAUAAUUCAAAUUUAUAAAUAAGAAACUUAUUAGAAGGAAUAACUAGAGAUUAUAAGUGC